UUUUAUUGUUAAAAUGUAUUUAUUUGACUAAUUUAAGAAUGUUUUUAAAAUAGUUUUGGUUGACUAUAAAUUUGUUUAUAAAAACCGUUAAAAACCCGCAAUACCUGAUCAUUCAUUCUGAGAUUGGGCCGCCUGUGGAUGUACUGUGCAAAUAUAUAAAACGUCAUAUUUAUAGAUAUUUGAUUGACAUGUUUACGCACAGGCCACGCAUUUCAUACCGCAUGGGUUUUCCCUGAGUUUUUAUA
Paramuricea clavata is the source of this 245-nucleotide non-coding RNA. NCBI's taxonomy places the organism in Eukaryota, Metazoa, Cnidaria, Anthozoa, Malacalcyonacea, Plexauridae. The record is from the annotation of a GenBank genome assembly.